AGAAUCAACGCUGGCGGCGUGCCUAACACAUGCAAGUCGCACGAGAAAGGGACUUCGGUCUUGAGUAAAGUGGCGCACGGGUGAGUAACACGUGACUAAUCUACCCUCGAGUGGGGAAUAACUGAGAGAAAUCUUAGCUAAUACCGCAUAACACUUACGAGUCAAAGCAGCAAUGCGCUUGGGGAGGAGGUCGCGGCCGAUUAGCUAGUUGGCGGGGUAAUGGCCCACCAAGGCGAUGAUCGGUAUCCGGCCUGAGAGGGCGCACGGACACACUGGAACUGAAACACGGUCCAGACUCCUACGGGAGGCAGCAGUGGGGAAUUUUGCGCAAUGGGGGAAACCCUGACGCAGCAACGCCGCGUGGAGGAUGAAGUAUCUUGGUACGUAAACUCCUUUCGAUGGGGAAGAUAAUGACGGUACCCAUAGAAGAAGCCCGGCUAACUUCGCGCCAGAGCCGC
RNAcentral lists this ribosomal RNA (458 nucleotides) under uncultured bacterium. RNAcentral's name for it is "SSU rRNA". It matches the Rfam family "Bacterial small subunit ribosomal RNA", at positions 26 to 518 of the family's 1533-position model. The record is from RNAcentral.